AUUGGCGCAAUCAAUAUUCCCAAGACAGUAACGGCCAAUGGCUUAAUCAGGUUACCGAGGUGUUGAUUCAUCAAACACGAUGAAUGAAGUCCAUGCCUUGGUAUGGGCUUUUCUAUGUGGAUAU
Regulatory RNA element from Clostridiales bacterium CHKCI006, 124 nucleotides. It matches the Rfam family "Ribosomal protein L10 leader". From Rfam's summary of the family: This family is a putative r-protein leader autoregulatory structure found in B. subtilis and other low-GC Gram-positive bacteria. It is located in the 5' untranslated regions of mRNAs encoding ribosomal proteins L10 and L12 (rplJ-rplL). Lineage: Bacteria; Bacillati; Bacillota; Clostridia; Eubacteriales. The record is from Rfam.